Molecule: ribosomal RNA, 272 nt
Filed under: Escherichia coli
Lineage: Bacteria; Pseudomonadati; Pseudomonadota; Gammaproteobacteria; Enterobacterales; Enterobacteriaceae
Description: partial 16S ribosomal RNA
Rfam family: Bacterial small subunit ribosomal RNA
Source: RNAcentral
AAAUUGAAGAGUUUGAUCAUGGCUCAGAUUGAACGCUGGCGGCAGGCCUAACACAUGCAAGUCGAACGGUAACAGAAAGCAGCUUGCUGCUUUGCUGACGAGUGGCGGACGGGUGAGUAAUGUCUGGGAAACUGCCUGAUGGAGGGGGAUAACUACUGGAAACGGUAGCUAAUACCGCAUAACGUCGCAAGACCAAAGAGGGGGACCCUCGGGCCUCUUGCCAUCGGAUGUGCCCAGAUGGGAUUAGCUUGUUGGUGGGGUAACGGCUCACC